CACUCCUGCGGGAGGCAGCAGUGGGGAAUAUUGCACAAUGGGCGCAAGCCUGAUGCAGCCAUGCCGCGUGUAUGAAGAAGGCCUUCGGGUUGUAAAGUACUUUCAGCGGGGAGGAAGGCGAUAAGGUUAAUAACCUUGUCGAUUGACGUUACCCGCAGAAGAAGCACCGGCUAACUCCGUGCCAGCAGCCGCGGUAAUACGGAGGGUGCAAGCGUUAAUCGGAAUUACUGGGCGUAAAGCGCACGCAGGCGGUCUGUCAAGUCGGAUGUGAAAUCCCCGGGCUCAACCUGGGAACUGCAUUCGAAACUGGCAGGCUAGAGUCUUGUAGAGGGGGGUAGAAUUCCAGGUGUAGCGGUGAAAUGCGUAGAGAUCUGGAGGAAUACCGGUGGCGAAGGCGGCCCCCUGGACAAAGACUGACGCUCAGGUGCGAAAGCGUGGGGAGCAAACAGGAUUAGAUACCCCAGUAGUCCC
RNAcentral lists this ribosomal RNA (471 nucleotides) under uncultured organism. Its description in RNAcentral is "partial 16S ribosomal RNA". It matches the Rfam family "Bacterial small subunit ribosomal RNA", at positions 334 to 797 of the family's 1533-position model. The record is from RNAcentral.